GACAGAGCUUUCGUGUCGCGAGACUUAACUUUACCGAUUUGACAGCCUUGAUAACGUUGAUGUAGUCUUGACACAUGACACGGUGCGUGGAAUAGAAAUAAGUCCUCCAAAUGUCCAGAAAGCGCGUGUGCUAACGGUAUUAUUUGGAUGAUUCAUUGCUGAGCAGAGGUGGUAACAGCCUCUAUUAUAACAGCUAUAUAAAUGGAUGAAAGUAAAGUGGGAGUUUUGUUGAGAAAACACAUCGACAUGGAGGAUAUCAAGUUCAAGUUCUUAUCGCUGAUUCACAAGCAGAAUCAGGCUAAGAUCCCGUCAAUGGGAUUGAAUCCCGAUCUCCUCAACCCAAUCGAAUCUCAAGGCCUUAACGACAUUCAGUCCGAUGCUAGUCAUUCGACUGAAAGCGAGCUGCUUCCCGAUCAAGACAUUCUGGAAUCCAUAGAAUCUGUGUAUUACGAGAGCGAUGACUGCUUUGAUUGUUGUCGUCAUGAGUUACAGAAACUUCCCGAAGUUCUGAAUUCUAAAGUAAUCGAAAGAGACUACAAAAGGCUUAAACAAGAGCACCAAGUUGUUUCUAAAAAAGUGUUACAGCUAAUAUUGCAAAAGCAAAGCUUAUGCCAAAAGGAGUUCGAAAGAAUCUUGUACAUUCAAGAAGAACUUCAAAAUGCCUUGGAAAUUUGCCGAAGUGGAAGGAUGGAUUUAAGCCUUGCUAAAAAACAGUUCACCACUGCUAGUCUUGGGAUUUUGGCUAACUAUCAAAAGAAACAAGUCGUUCAAGGGCUUCUGCAUAGUUUAAACACCAUAAAAACCUUACAACGAACAGAGGACCGCCUUCAGGAACUUCUGAACGAAGGGAAUUACCCAGGAGCAAUAUCGCUGCUCCUUGAAUGCCAAAGAGCUGCUGAGAGAUAUAAACAUUUUCAUUGCGUAGCCGCACUGAAUGGGAAACUCCAGGACACCUUGGAACAGGCGGAAGAAACUCUGGAUCAAACGCUGGCAAAAAUGUGUACAGAAUUUGAAGUUGGGACGUAUUUGUCUGUCCAAGGAGCGUACAGACUUCUCGGAAAAACCCAGACGGCAAUGGACCAACUUCACAUGCACUUUACAGCAGCUAUUCAUAACGUUGCUUUUAUGGCAGUUCACGCUUUCACCGGUGGUGACACAAAAAGGCCUUAUAAACAGCUCUGCCAGUCAGUCUCGCACGAGACAUUUCUACCUUGUUUAAUCGAACUGUGCAAGUCUCUCUGGGCCAUUUUAAUUUCCUAUUGUCAAGUUGUCAAUUGGCACAAUACGCAUGAAAGCUGGUCAGAUGAGACUGAAGAAAAAGAUCUAGAAGCUACCUUUAAUAAACAGUAUGUUAAGCAAAAGCUGGAAAAUGGAAUGUCCAGAAUGUGGCACGAUGUAGAAACCAAAAUAUCCACGUAUUUGUUGGGCGCUGAUUUGGCCUACUUCAAGUUUGAGCAGUUUGUACAAAUUUUGGGAAUCGUUCAUAGGUUAAUCGAAGUUGGGGAAGAGCUCUGCUCAAGUCAGUCAGAGAAUCUCCAAGAAUCAAUAAGAAAACAGUGCUCUUCCUACUUUGCUCAUUACCACGCGUCUCGAUUAGACGAGUUGAAGAUAUUUUUGGAAAAUGAUGGCUGGGAACUUUGUCCUGUUAAGCCAUCGUUCGUUGUCACGCAACUGCAAGAAUUUAAAAGCUUGAAGACUGUCCUCAAUAGUUGUAAGCCUCGCAAUAGCCCUGACGAAUCUACCUUGAGUCAAGAUGGUAGUUCUGUCAUUGGAGGACUGGUCCAAAGAUAUUUGGAUAACGGUGUAACGCCCUUUGAUGUCAUCCUGGAUGAAGCUGCUGACGAAGACAUUUUGGCCAACAUUGGAGAUGCACCUUCUGGGUAUUUUUCAGACGAUUCUGACGACGACAUUCCGGAGGAACUGAAAUGUGAUUUUGUAGAUGAGCCCGACCAAUCGAAACCCUCGAAAAAAAAACAUAAACAACAAUUUGCUGGGCCAAUGGUAACAAACACAACGUUGAGUGUGCUCAGAGUUUGUGGAAAGUAUCUACAAAUGUCAAGAUUAUUUAGAUCCAUUGCUGUUACUGUUAUUCAAAAUAUGACACAAUUCUUUGAACUGUGUCUUUACACUGUACACAUGUUCUUCACUUCGGAUCUGCAAAUAAACAGCGACACGUUGUACACUCCAAAAUUAAAGUUGACCUUGGCUCGAAUACGCGAGACUUUGAUGGCAGACAGUGCAGUUACGACUGAGAGUGGAGCUCAGUCACAUAAAGUAACACAACCGUGUCUCUCUUCGAUAGUGAACUUGACUCAGCCAGAAAAAAUUCAUGGCUUGAUGAAAAGAGUGAUAGCCGUUGAAUCUCUGAUAUUUUUGGGACAGCAGUACGAAAUUUUGAGGCCUUAUUUGGAGCACCUAGUAGCUUCUCCCUGCCACGGAUUUCUUCAUCAAUUCUAUUCCCAAACGAUUGCAGCAGCUACAGAUCUCCGAAAACCUGUUUACAUGGCUGCUGCAUCUCAGUCCUUCGAUGUUGGCGGUAUAUUAACGCUGAUGUCGAAAGUUAAUUGGGAAGUGAGAGAUGUUAUGUCACAGCACAGCAGUUAUAUUGACAAUCUAUUAAGGUUUCUCGAAUGCAAAGAAAUGUUCAAAUGGAGGCAGAGCCUUGAUGCAGUUGGAUUUUACCCAAUUAAUGUCGAAGUUUGAAAAAUUAACAUCUUUGCGACCUAUGCCGCACAGAGAAUACGUCGAGGCAUACGUCAAGGCUUAUUAUUUGCCUGAAAACAUAUUGGAAGAAUGGAUAAAGCAACAUAAGGAAUAUUCUACAAAACAUUUGAUCGGUCUUAUAUCGUGCGGAUGUCAAAACAACAAAAAAACCCGACAGCGAUUAAUAUCCAUCAUAGAGGAGGAACGACCGAGCAGAUAACAACAAGCUGUAUGAUCAAUAACUGUAAAACGAAGUUGCAAUAGAAUUAUAAAAUUUGAAUAUUAUCGAAUUGCUGCUCUGCUAUAAUUAUAAUAUAAAUCUGACACAAUUAUUGUGAUACUUAAGUUGUCAAUACUGUUAUGUAUAUGUUGUACAGUUUCUCUAACUGUUAGGUAAAAAACACAUUCUAGCUUUACAGCAAAUAUUUCGCAAAUCGGUGCAUAUCAUUACUUAAUGAUACUUACAUUCUGUGUUAAACACCGAUAUGAAUCUCUCAUUUGAACAUGUGCGAGUAACGGUUGUUAAAUAUUUUUGGAUUGAUUCAGAAAAGAUUUAAAUGGAAGAGAUAAAAUACAGACGGGAGGCUUAUAGAUAUAAAAAUAAUUGAACUGGUUUCGAUUUUCGAAUCCAAACCGUGACGAAAUCUCCCUGCUGGCAAGUUACGAUGUAAUCUCAUUGAACUCACGUUGGAAAAGUUAUUAUCUCUUAUGUACAUUGUUUAUACGAUUCUUUACUAUGAAUUUUUAAUCCCUAAAAAGUGAAAUAAAGACAUAUUUGUAGGUA
Molecule: unclassified non-coding RNA, 3487 nt
Filed under: Neodiprion lecontei (redheaded pine sawfly)
Lineage: Eukaryota; Metazoa; Arthropoda; Insecta; Hymenoptera; Diprionidae
Description: syndetin, transcript variant X1
Source: RNAcentral